Molecule: long non-coding RNA, 2306 nt
Organism: Spinacia oleracea (spinach)
Lineage: Eukaryota; Viridiplantae; Streptophyta; Magnoliopsida; Caryophyllales; Amaranthaceae
Exons: 6
Source: RefSeq, a predicted model, not a curated record
UGAAUUGAUGAUUAAUACGAGUGAUCAACGCGGCCUUAAACCAAGAGCUCUUCUUCUUAGUUGCAAACCACUCAUUCACGGUAGUAGGGGAAGAUCAGUACUUGAGAGCUGGCAGUGUUGGUCUCCCUAAUGUUGACGAUUUCUUUUCAAUGCUAUUAUGUAGCACAAUCUCCAUCUUCUUCGGCUUCCACUGGAUCAACUCCAGCUACUCCAGGGCAAAGUAACCUUUUUACAUUGGAAUAAAGGACAGGAGAUGGCUCCUACAAUUGGGACCGAAGGUGGAACUCUCUUAGUUAGAAAAAUACCAGUUCCAGGCCCAAGUUAAGCAGAGAUCUUCAUACAUCUAUUGUUGAGCAACGCUUUCCAUUGUUUGUUAUUAUUUUACAGAAAAUGUUUCCCAAAGGCGAUCUACCUGAAUGGGUCUGCAAUGCCAUGGAGGUUGCAGAAGUUGAUAUUUCUUCAUGCUGUAGAUGAUCUUCAACGCUUUCCAAGCAGGUUGUUUCCACCAAAUUAUAUCUUAUACUUGGUUUUUAUGUGCCAAUUUUGACUAGGUAUCAUAUAUAGGAAGGAACACAUGCUUUUACCACAAAACUGUCCGAAUUGUGUACCAUUUUCGCUUCAGAAUAUGCACAACCAUUUUUAUAAUUUUUUUCGGUAACUAACAAGACGGUACAGAACAAAAGAGGGUGUUGAAAUGAAAAAAGAACUAAUGGGUGGUUUAAUGUGGAGAUUUUUGAACAUAUACUUAUAUUUUAUAUGAUUUCUCUAAACCCAUACUUACUACACAAGGCAAAAGAAUCUCCAAGGAUUAUUAUGACAUUCUAAUUCUGUGAAUUGAUGUGGUUACUGGUUAUUUAAUCCUACCAAAUUUGUUAGAUUUUACUGCUGUUUGAAAUUGACAGCAACUUAUAAGAUUGAUUAAACUUAAGUCUGCUCAUAGAACUAUUUUACUGUAACAUGAUCCAAAACCUACUCUAAUAGUAGAAAACUCAUAGUUCCCUUGCAUACUGUGAAAUGUAUAGGUACUGACGUACUAGUGUAGUGCCCCAUCCCUUAUUUGUUGUUUUGGUUCUAGCAACGAGUGGUUAUCUUCUGUCUUCCGUAGUCCGUUAGGUUCAAUUAGGCCGGGUCUAUGCUAGGGAGCAACCUGGUGUCUCUUGUCUACUAAAAAGUUGUGGUUAUAAGUUGUGGAUUGAUUGGUUGUACUAAAAAAAAUGCUAGAUAUUUAUGGUAAAAUCUAAAUGCCUUUGACUUGCUCAUAAUUGUGCUUUGACCAUAUUGUUGGCACUCCCCUUGGCAAGGUUUUCGGUGAUGUUUCUGAGGAACAAUCAAUUGCGACUGUUAUUGAAGCUUUUAAUCAGGGUAUCAACUUAUUUGACACUUCUCCGUAAGUUCAUCGUCUUCCUCAAAUUUGAUGAGCCAUUUCUGUAUUUCUCCCCAAUUUUAGUAGUAUCUAGAUGUGUAUUUUUUGGAAUUUUUGGAAUUGUAAUAUGUUAUUUUGAUUAUUGUUGUACGAAAAUUGAAUUUUUUGUGACCCAUUUUGGGGUUAGAUCAGUAUUUGUCAUACUGAAAUCUAUUAGAGUGAGUUGUCUCGGGUUGGAGACUAAUAGAGUGAUCGCAAAAUUACUCCACCUAUAUAGCCAAUUGAUUAUGGGAUGAACAGGGAUACAAGUGUUCUGACUUGGAUUCCGGCCAAGCCUAUUUUACAAAGUUAACAUUAUAUACUGUAAAGAUGCCGCCUUUGUCAUUUGAUUGGAUUAAUUAGGAUUGUGUUGUUGUAAUGAUUUGUUAUGAUGAAUCUAUUUUGUGGAUUUUGCAUGUUUGGGUACUUUGGUGCGAAAAUGUCGGAGAAAGCGCGUGGGAAGUGUUUGAAAGCACUUGGUGCACCUAGAGGAAGCUCUCUGAUUACAAAAGCAGUGAUGGGAAGACAACUCUACUUCACUUUGUGGUUCAUGAGGUUGUCAGGAACGAGGGGUGACGGUGUGUUAUGAACAGGAACAACAUCUUAGCCAGAACUAACAGUCACAUAAACUCAACCUCAAACCCAAACCCAAACCCGGAGGAAUCCAAGUCAAAAGAGGAACAAGAAAAAGAGUUCUUACAGCUAGGAUUACCUGUUGUAGGGGGGUUAAGCUCUGAGUUCUCAAAUGUUAAGAAAGCAACCACCCUGAUUUCAUUUUAGACCAUUACUUUGAGCUAGAAUUAAAUAAUUAAUCUGUAUUCCUCAGCUUCUGUUUUAGAACACAGUUCUUAUAAGUAGACUGAGUUUAUAUUUUACUUUAUAAGAUCAGAAGAAAUGUCCCUUA